CGCGGCCUAUCAGCUUGUUGGUGAGGUAAUGGCUCACCAAGGCGUCGACGGGUAGCCGGCCUGAGAGGGUGACCGGCCACACUGGGACUGAGACACGGCCCAGACUCCUACGGGAGGCAGCAGUGGGGAAUAUUGCACAAUGGGCGGAAGCCUGAUGCAGUAACGCCGCGUGAGGGAUGACGGCCUUCGGGUUGUAAACCUCUUUUAGCAGGGAAGAAGCGAAAGUGACGGUACCUGCAGAAAAAGCGCCGGCUAACUACGUGCCAGCAGCCGCGGUAAUACGUAGGGCGCAAGCGUUAUCCGGAAUUAUUGGGCGUAAAGAGCUCGUAGGCGGUUUGUCGCGUCUGCUGUGAAAUCCCGAGGCUCAACCUCGGGCCUGCAGUGGGUACGGGCAGACUAGAGUGCGGUAGGGGAGAUUGGAAUUCCUGGUGUAGCGGUGGAAUGCGCAGAUAUCAGGAGGAACACCGAUGGCGAAGGCAGAUCUCUGGGCCGUAACUGACGCUGAGGAGCGAAAGGGUGGGGAGCAAACAGGCUUAGAUACCCUGGUAGUCCACCCCGUAAACGUUGGGAACUAGUUGUGGGGUCCAUUCCACGGAUUCCGUGACGCAGCUAACGCAUUAAGUUCCCCGCCUGGGGAGUACGG
Molecule: ribosomal RNA, 643 nt
Filed under: uncultured bacterium
Lineage: Bacteria
Description: bacterial SSU rRNA
Rfam family: Bacterial small subunit ribosomal RNA
Source: RNAcentral